This is a non-coding RNA of Sturnus vulgaris (Common starling), 269 nucleotides long. NCBI's taxonomy places the organism in Eukaryota, Metazoa, Chordata, Aves, Passeriformes, Sturnidae. The record is from RefSeq and is a predicted model, not a curated record.
AAACCCUCAAAUACUCGAAUCUAGCCACUCUUCUUGUCAUCACUGAGCUGUACCUCUCAAAAUCCUGGAAGUAUUUCUUUAUGCACCAAGUGACAGACCUCUGUGGAGCCUGGCCACAGCUCUGCCAGGCUCUUUUCCAAGCAGUUUGCCCUCAAUGUCACGUGGAGCAGCAUCAGUGAUGCAGAGACACCGGUAUUGAUCCGAAGUGGAAUAACCUCCUCAGCAAGAGUUUGUAUGUAGGUUAGGCGCUACCACAGGGCCAUCCUUUU